GAAAUGCGAUAAGUAAUGUGAAUUGCAGAAUUCAGUGAAUCAUCGAAUCUUUGAACGCACCUUGCGCUCCUUGGUAUUCCGAGGAGCAUGCCUGUUUGAGUGUCAUUAAAUUCUCAACCAUUAUCAACUUUUGCUGGUAAUGGCUUGGAUGUGGGGGUCUAUUUUGCUGGCUUCUCAGAUAGUCAGCUCCCCUUAAAUGCAUUAGCCGGUGCCCCGCGUGGACUGUCUAUUGGUGUGAUAAUUAUCUACGCUAUGGACAUCUGCAAUCAUAUGGGUUUGCGCUGCUUCUAACAGUCUGUUGAUUCAGACAAUACAUGACAAUUUGACCUCAAAUCAGGUAGGACUACCCGCUGAACUUAA
RNAcentral lists this unclassified non-coding RNA (360 nucleotides) under uncultured Hebeloma. Its description in RNAcentral is "sequence contains ITS1". The stretch from base 1 to 105 matches the Rfam family "5.8S ribosomal RNA", at positions 50 to 154 of the family's 154-position model. The record is from RNAcentral. Lineage: Eukaryota; Fungi; Basidiomycota; Agaricomycetes; Agaricales; Cortinariaceae.